CACGUAGUUAGCCGUGGCUUCCUCAUAAAGUACCGUCACUUGCAUGUCAUUCCCUACAUGCAUCGUUCUUCCUUUAUAACAGAGGUUUACAUACCGAAAUACUUCCUCCCUCACGCGGCGUUGCUCGGUCAGGGUUUCCCCCAUUGCCGAAAAUUCCCUACUGCUGCCUCCCGUAGGAGUCUGGGCCGUGUCUCAGUCCCAGUGUGGCCGUCCACCCUCUCAGGUCGGCUACGCAUCGUCGCCUUGGUAGGCCGUUACCCUACCAACUAGCUAAUGCGCCAUAAGUCCAUCCUUCAGCUAUCCCGUGGGAUAUUUAAUAUGUAGAUCAUGCGAUCUUCAUACCUAUGCGGUCUUAGCUAUCAUUUCUAAUAGUUAUCCCCCUCUUAAGGCCAGGUUACUUAUGUAUUACUCACCCGUUCGCCACUCAUAUCCGAAGAUAUGCGUUCGACUUGCAUGUAUUAGGCACGCCGCCAGCGUUCAUCCUGAGCCAGGAUCAAA
This 498-nucleotide ribosomal RNA is filed under the name uncultured Coprobacillus sp. RNAcentral's name for it is "partial 16S ribosomal RNA". Lineage: Bacteria; Bacillati; Bacillota; Erysipelotrichia; Erysipelotrichales; Coprobacillaceae. The record is from RNAcentral.